This 70-nucleotide transfer RNA is filed under the name Megacopta centronubila. Its description in RNAcentral is "tRNA-Cys". Lineage: Eukaryota; Metazoa; Arthropoda; Insecta; Hemiptera; Plataspidae. The record is from RNAcentral.
GCUUUAAUAGUCAAAGUUUAAUGAUGCUAGAUUGCAAUUCUAGAGUUGGAAUUAAUUUUUCCUUAAAGCU